Molecule: ribosomal RNA, 484 nt
Filed under: uncultured bacterium
Lineage: Bacteria
Description: partial 16S ribosomal RNA
Rfam family: Bacterial small subunit ribosomal RNA
Source: RNAcentral
AUUGAACGCUGGCGGCAGGCCUAACACAUGCAAAUCGAGCGGAUGAAGGGAGCUUGCUCCUGGAUUCAGCGGCGGACGGGUGAGUAAUGCCUAGGAAUCUGCCUGGUAGUGGGGGAUAACGUCCGGAAACGGGCGCUAAUACCGCAUACGUCCUGAGGGAGAAAGUGGGGGAUCUUCGGACCUCACGCUAUCAGAUGAGCCUAGGUCGGAUUAGCUAGUUGGUGGGGUAAAGGCCUACCAAGGCGACGAUCCGUAACUGGUCUGAGAGGAUGAUCAGUCACACUGGAACUGAGACACGGUCCAGACUCCUACGGGAGGCAGCAGUGGGGAAUAUUGGACAAAGGGCGAAAGCCUGAUCCAGCCAUGCCGCGUGUGUGAAGAAGGUCUUCGGAUUGUAAAGCACUUUAAGUUGGGAGGAAGGGCAGUAAGUUAAUACCUUGCUGUUUUGACGUUACCAACAGAAUAAGCACCGGCUAACUUCGUG